CAUCACUACGCUAGAUGCAUAUCAAUAAGCGGAGGAAAAGAAACUAACAAGGAUUCCCUUAGUAACGGCGAGUGAAGCGGGAAGAGCUCAAAUUUGAAAUCUUCAAGGUUCUACCUUGACGAAUUGUAGUUUAUAGAAGUGUUUUCUGUUAGUAGAGUGGCAAAAGUUCUUUGGAAUAGGACAUCAUAGAGGGUGAGAAUCCCGUAUUUGACCGUUACUUUCCAGCUGUGUGAUACACUUUCAAAGAGUCGGAUUGUUUGGGAAUGCAGUCCAAAAUGGGUGGUAAAUUUCAUCUAAAGCUAAAUAUUGGCGAGAGACCGAUAGCGAACAAGUACCGUGAGGGAAAGAUGAAAAGAACUUUGAAAAGAGAGUUAAACAGUACGUGAAAUUGUCAAAAGGGAAGCGUUUGACACCAGUGUUGUUUAGUUGAAAAUCAAUUCAAUAAUUUUUGAUUUUAAGUAGUAUUGACUUCAUCAGCUUGCUGCUUUCUUCUCAGGAAUUAUUGAAUGCACUUUUCAGUUAACAAGUCAACAUCAAUUUCUUUUGUUGUAAAAGGGUAAGAGGAAGGUGGCUUACGCUUCGGCGUAAGUGUUUAUAGCCUUUUACCUCUGCAAUCGGAGAGAUUGAGGAUCAGCAGCGUAGACUCUUCGGGGUUAGAUACACUUGUGCUAAGCUAUAGCCUUGUAUAGACAACUUGUUGACUAUGCUCAGUCAUGUAGCCUACUCGCUUGUGCUAUUUUACCUACGCUUAGGAUGUUGAAGAUAUGCGCGACACG
This 776-nucleotide ribosomal RNA is filed under the name uncultured Neocallimastigales. Its description in RNAcentral is "partial large subunit ribosomal RNA". It matches the Rfam family "Eukaryotic large subunit ribosomal RNA", at positions 20 to 644 of the family's 3401-position model. Lineage: Eukaryota; Fungi; Neocallimastigomycota; Neocallimastigomycetes; Neocallimastigales. The record is from RNAcentral.